RNAcentral lists this long non-coding RNA (659 nucleotides) under Monodelphis domestica (gray short-tailed opossum). Its description in RNAcentral is "lncRNA (ENSMODG00000040068.1)". The record is from RNAcentral. Lineage: Eukaryota; Metazoa; Chordata; Mammalia; Didelphimorphia; Didelphidae.
UCAUGAAGGGAGGUGGCGCCGGGCUAUAGGAGCGGUGCCAGACGGGGAAAAGGUUCGCGCGUGGAGAUCGAAGCCCGGAGCGCGAGGCCAGACGCGUGGAUCGAGAAGAAGAGCCAGACCGGGGCUGGGCAGGGGGGAAGAGGGCGAAGCCCGGUAACCGAGCUGGUAGUCGAUUUUCCUUGGGAGCCUCCCAAACACUAAGCUAUCUCUAACAAUAUAUGUGGCAAUCUCAUCUUCUAUGUGACAUCCUGGAAAGUAUACUGCCAAGCUGUACUUUUGAACUUUUCUGUUAUGGCCUCAGGAACUUCAUAACAGUAACCUUAUCAUUCUGCAAAAUUGUAUGAACCUCCGAAAUCAUAUCUCAUCAAUAACCUCUGACUCCUGGAGGCUUCUUAUUGAAGGACAAAAUAAAGAACUCCUCUCCAAACCCCCAGACAACUUCUGGAGCAACCUUAUCACCCUGGAAGAUCCCAUUGCCCUGAAGCCCCCUCUUUUGAUUGGUGAGUUCUUCUAAUAACCUCCAUUCUAAUGAAUUGCCUAGGCCAUACAUGUAUACUCCUUCAAAUUCACCAGCUCCUGUCCUCUGAUUUUGGUUCCCUUUUAUGUAUUGUCUCCCCACAGUUAAUAAAAUCCUUGAGAGUAGUCUUUCUUUUUUGCUU